Molecule: transfer RNA, 69 nt
Filed under: Urocitellus parryii (Arctic ground squirrel)
Lineage: Eukaryota; Metazoa; Chordata; Mammalia; Rodentia; Sciuridae
Also listed under: 1 other name
Description: Spermophilus parryii (Arctic ground squirrel) tRNA
Rfam family: tRNA
About the family: Transfer RNA (tRNA) molecules are approximately 80 nucleotides in length.
Source: Rfam by way of RNAcentral
GGGGUUGUAGCUCAGGGGUAGAGCACUUGCCUCACAUGCAUGAGUCCCAGGGUUUAAUCCUCAGCACCA